This 497-nucleotide ribosomal RNA is filed under the name uncultured bacterium. RNAcentral's name for it is "partial 16S ribosomal RNA". It matches the Rfam family "Bacterial small subunit ribosomal RNA", at positions 28 to 507 of the family's 1533-position model. The record is from RNAcentral.
GAUGAACGCUGGCGGCGUGCCUAAUACAUGCAAGUCGAGCGAACAGACGAGGAGCUUGCUCCUCUGACGUUAGCGGCGGACGGGUGAGUAACACGUGGAUAACCUACCUAUAAGACUGGGAUAACUUCGGGAAACCGGAGCUAAUACCGGAUAAUAUAUUGAACCGCAUGGUUCAAUAGUGAAAGCCGUUUUUGCUGUCACUUAUAGAUGUAUCCGCGCCGCAUUAGCUAGUUGGUAAGGUAACGGCUUACCAAGGCAACGAUGCGUAGCCGACCUGAGAGGGUGAUCGGCCACACUGGAACUGAGACACGGUCCAGACUCCUACGGGAGGCAGCAGUAGGGAAUCUUCCGCAAUGGGCGAAAGCCUGACGGAGCAACGCCGCGUGAGUGAUGAAGGUCUUCGGAUCGUAAAACUCUGUUAUUAGGGAAGAACAAAUGUGUAAGUAACUAUGCACGUCUUGACGGUACCUAAUCAGAAAGCCACGGCUAACUACGUG